GACGAACGCUGGCGGCGUGCUUAACACAUGCAAGUCGAACGAGACGAUUGAAAGCUUGCUUUUAAAAGUCGAGUGGCAAACGGGUGAGUAACGAGUAGACAACCUGCCUUUGAGAUGGGGACAACAGUUCGAAAGGACUGCUAAUACCGAAUGUUGUAUAUUUUCCACAUGGAAGAUAUAUUAAAGAUGGCCUCUAUUUAUAAGCUAUCGCUCAAAGAUGUGUCUUCGUCUGCUUGGCUAGUUGGUGGGGUAACGGCCUACCAAGGCGACGGUCAGUAGCCGGUCGGAGAGGAUGAACGGCCACAGUGGGACUGAGACACGGCCCAGACUCCUACGGGAGGCAGCAGUGGGGAAUCUUCCACAAUGGACGAAAGUCUGAUGGAGCAACGCCGCGUGAGUGAAGAAGGGUUUCGGCUCGUAAAGCUCUGCUGUCGGGGACGAAUGUGCAGUAUUUGAAUAAAGUACUGCAAUGACGGUACCUGACGAGGAAGCCACGGCUAACUACGUGCCAGCAGCCGCCGUAA
RNAcentral lists this ribosomal RNA (524 nucleotides) under uncultured bacterium. RNAcentral describes it as "partial 16S ribosomal RNA". It matches the Rfam family "Bacterial small subunit ribosomal RNA", at positions 28 to 523 of the family's 1533-position model. The record is from RNAcentral.